AUCCCUUCGUCCUGUACGCCUCGAACUGAAUCCUGCUCGUCCCCCCGCUCCGCCGCCGGGCACCACAGGGCUUCUCCCACCACCGUCGGCCACCAUGACGCCAUGCUCCGUCCACUCUUGCUAGCCCCGACUACACACAACCUAUUCAGAUGCAGCGUGCGUGCCGAACCCGUUGCUCGGAUCAGAUCCAAAUGCUCGAUUGUACAAUGGGAGCCGAGACAAAUCUCUCCCCACCGCCGCUGGAGCUGGAGAUUCUACGCGGCGAGGAUCAGCGGUCGGAACUCGAUCUGCCUCCUCCAACUGUGGUGACAUGUGCAUUGGUGGUUCUCGGCCAACCCAGAGUUGUAAUCCGGCGGCAGCCCGUUCCUCAGGAAGUGCAGCACAUAUGGGUGAUCCGAGCUCUAUGUGGUUAGUUUAUCCUCUAAUAAUCUAAUAGUAGUAUUCAUUGUUCUCUGUUUGGCAAAUUCCUUCGGCGAGUCAUGGGUUAGUUUUGGACAGGGGCUGGAGUAUCAGAACUCCUAUGCUUGAUGUGCCCAAAAAUUUAAAACAGAAAGACAACUGAAGCUAUUCUCAGUUGUGAGCAACUCAAAUUAGAAAAUUUUAAAGGUUCGUUAUAAAUUAGUAUAUGCAUCGCUAUGCUAUUACACAAUUUCAUGACAUCUAGUAACUUGUAUCACAUCUAUUAAAUAGUAUCAAGCAGGCUGAGUACCUGUCUAAGCAUUGAUGUAUCAUAUAUCAUUUAUUUAUUUAUUCUUUCAAAGGACGCAAAGGAUUUGGCUUCUUGUGGUGGAGAUAGUUAUAGUACACCAAGGAAAACAAGUAGCACGCCGAUCCGUGUAAGUAUUAUUCAAUGUUCAGUGUAGAAGUACCAAAAUUUAGCUCACAAAUGAUAAUGGGUGGAAACUCUAGGUUUUAAUGGGUGGCGAUUUAGGCAAAAAAAACAAAAUGGCCAAUGCCAUAAGCAAAAGCUCUGACAACUUUUUUUAUGUGUUUGUGUGGCUAUAUAAAUCAAGUAAUCAUUCACCCUUUUAUGAUUUUUUUUCUUGGAAUCAAACUUGCUGCUACAGAUCAGGCUAUUCUCCUAGACAUGUAUUGCCCUUUUUAGGAGUUUUCCCUUAUUUGUGGGAUUCACAGGCUAUUGUAUUCGUUACGAGAAUGUUGUGUGGCAACCUGAAGGCUGCAGGAUACAAAUGUUUCCAACUAUUAAUUUUUUAGAAGGUAAUUGUUGGGGGUUGAUUUCAACCUGGAUUAGGAUGUUAAUCCAUUACGACAUACAGGUUGUGUAAGACUCUUUGCAACCUAUUGAACUUAUGAAUGGGAAAGGAAGGUGAUUUGGCUUCUGUAGCAAAUCUGUCAACUAUGAAUCUACAUCCGGCAAUUGUGAGUAUCUGUUCGCUCUGUGGUUUGUUGGUGUCCAGUGCACAUGUUAAUGGUGACUCUUGCGGGGCAAAAAAAUUAGAUGCAUUUAUGAUCGAUGGGUAUGCAGCCAAAUCAGAACUAGUGGCUCCUAUCAUGUGACGAAUGCGUUUGGAAAGAACUUCAGGAAGGAGCUAUGUACAAGUGUACAAAUGAGUUUUGCUCAGGCAGAAAGCAAAAUCGAAGAAGCACCAGCAACUUCCGGUGUAACUACCACUGUCAGUUUCCUCGAUCACUUUCCUAGCAGCCACCACGGACAUGACCAAGCUGUUACGAAGAAGAUGAAAAACCUGGGCCUAGGCGGCGAGGGGGAGCUCGUGAAGCCAAUGGGACCUGAGAGCAUCUGUAAGACCAGGUUAUGUGUGAGCUUUGUCGCCGGCAGGUCGUGCGCCUUCGGCGGCAGAUGCCCCUUGGCCCAUGAGAAAGUUGAAUUGUGCAAUCCUGCUGCAUCUCGAGAAGUCGAAGGUCAAGUGAUUCUCAUGGUGUUCAUGAUGGUCGUGCAUCUUUUAUUUUGCAGAAAUGCCUAAACAAAAACUUCUCUUGUCUAUUCUUGUUGUAAUAGGUGUGUUGAUGAAGAUCAACUUUUCUUGUCUAUUCUUAUCCAUUUCUUCUUCCGUUCAAUCAAUUCAUGAUAGGCAAGACAUCAAAAAUGGAGUGAACAGAAACUCAGUAUCAAUGAAGGCAUGGUAGACGCCAUUGUCCAAGAUAUUAAUAUUAGAGCAUCAAUGUUUUUAUCUUGGAAGUUCAAGCCUGUAAGUCGCUGGACUAAUGAGGCAGCCCAUGUUUUUGGCAAAAUCUGUUGAGAAGUCAGAAGAUCUGUGUACCUGAUGUUGUCAGGACACUGUUUGUAACGAUGAGAUUAUGAAUGAAAUGAAAGGGUGCCCUAGGUUUA
Molecule: long non-coding RNA, 2308 nt
Organism: Triticum dicoccoides
Lineage: Eukaryota; Viridiplantae; Streptophyta; Magnoliopsida; Poales; Poaceae
Exons: 3
Source: RefSeq, a predicted model, not a curated record